GUGUGUGUGUGUGUGUGUACAUACUAAAACAGCAGGACCAUAAGUCCCGUCUGUGCUAAGCCACGAACAGAGCAUCGUUUCGCCGUUUAUUUGAGCACCAACACAAACUCGGCAGCUUUGCCUUUGAAAAUCUUAACAGCAAUAACAGCUACACGCGGGCUCCUCCCCUUUGACAAACCGACGUCUCGAUCGAGGGAUUAUGACGCGGAUUAGGAGCUGACAGUUAGAAGUGCUACCGUGUGAUAAUCCACAGUGGGUCGGGGGGGCUGUGCAAACCGCCGACCAGCGUUGACAAUAAUGCUGCGCUCACAAGCACCAACCGAACACCGGAGGACGUCCUGGUGCCUCCUUCUUCGAGACGAUGACCUGUCCUUGUCCCACGACCACUACCGAGCGUCCUCGUGGCAGACGUCCCGCCUGAGGGGUAACAGAUAGUGAUGGGAUGCGCUCGGCCCGUCACAGGGAGCGGCUGAUUCAAACAUGAUAAGAGGCUCCCACCAGACGGUCCCACAGAGGCCCGUUUCCAGCCGCCGUACCUACCGACCUCGUGACCUUAAGGACAGGUUUGUUUUCUGCUUCUUGCCGGCAGGUAACAAGACGACCUCUAGAGGUCGGCUGCAGCCUUCAACUACAGGAUCUUCACUUGACGAUAAUCAGAUUUUACGAUCACUAUUAUUUUAUUUUUUUUGAGAAACACCGCUUCCGCCUUUCAGCCUGUGACAACACUUAACCUCCUCAAAUAGAGCUACAACCAGGAACUCCCUCCUUCGUCGUGUGUGUGUGUGUUUGUGUGUGUGUGUGUGCUGUCUAUCGCCUUUUGUUGAUCUUUACUUGAGCUCUUAGAGGAUUACAGAAAGCACCAUGCAAACAAACCCUAUCAUUACCUUACAGUCGGGCUUUGGAGAGAUUAGUAACGCCUGCAAACAGGCUCGCUGGUGCCAAACGCGUUGCGCGGAACUUAUUUCAGAAUGACAACUGUUUGCCUUGCAGGACAUUCGUUGCACGAGAAAUGUUCAAACGAAGCCGAAUCGGAUGAAAAAAGGACAUCGAUGAGCUGGAACGCGGUUAAAAUAUGACUCGCGCCAUUUAUUCUGGUGAAUUGAAAGUUGUAUUUAAAGAAUGUUUUUUCUUUCUUUUAUGGCAUCAUGAAGGUAAAAUGACAUGCGGUAGCAUGAGAGCAUGGCUGCUGUGGUCAUCGGACCUUCAGCAGUGACCAUCUUGUGACCAUCAUCAGCGUGAGCGUGAAACGGAACCCGGCGGCGCUCCGCCCGUCACUGCCAACAGCUCGCUUAGCUUAGCAUGACAUGUGGAUCACCCAGUCAACACGGGUCAUGCCUUGCUUCCCCUCGGGGCCGGAGCAGGAUGCGAAGCAGCUGUGACGUCACACACGUGCAGCGCUGCAAUGGGCUCCUGGUGGUUCUGGGCAGCACGUUGGUAGACGUUGUUAACCGCUGUGUGGGCGCCGUUGUCUGUAUGUGUCUGUGUGGGUUCUGGUGCUGGUAGGGAGUCGAUUGGUUUGUUGUGCCCUAAUUCUAAUGUUAACGGGUCUCACUGAUUUUACAAUAUGAGAUGUUAAUAUUACAAUCAUGGUCAGAGGAAGGUUCAGGUUAUGAAGUCAUAAUAUUUCUUCUAAUGUAUUCAGAACGUAGCUAACACACGCGUUGCAUCCUCCUGUGUGAUUACAAUACAUGAAAAAUUGUUGUAUUUUCUCCUUUAUUCAGGACUUUAGGACAAAUAUAAGACAAGAAUAUCAAGUGAAGUGAAAGAAAAAAGUUUGAAAACCUAAUUACGUUCAGCUAUGGACCGGCUGUGUUUUCAUGCAUGUAAACAAUGAACUACAUGUAAUCCCACAGCAGAAUUGUUAUCAGAUUUUUGGAGAAAUUUUAGUUUAGUUAAUACUUGUUAUUUAGACAAAAAUAGUUGUUCAUCACUGUAUCCCAACGUAUGAUUUCAUCAUGGUACGAUCCUGUGAAAAGGAAAAGUAUUAUUACAUGAAAUGACUGUAAAGGACAGGUGAUUAUUGGCCAUGCUUCACAACACCGUGCACACGCUACCUGCCCCCCCCCCCCCUCACACCUCCGUGGACACAACGGGGGUCUGCUCCUGUACGGCUCACGAUGGGACUACCCAUAUCUGUAAAAUUGGGGACGUCCGUCCCACAGAAGAAUGAGGUCUGAGGACAACGUCUGCACUCUGCUAGUGCCGGGGGGGGUCAGGAGGGAGGAGACCCUCAACACUCACAUACUAGUGUUCCACAAACCACUGUUACUGCUUUUCACCAGUAUCUCAUGUUGUCAUCUCCCUUUCAAGAUAUGGGAACCUGUGGCAAGACCUGGAGGACCCCCCCCCCCCUCUUUUCCUACUUCACUCAAGCACACACACACACACACACACACACACACA
This is a long non-coding RNA of Gasterosteus aculeatus aculeatus (three-spined stickleback), 2403 nucleotides long. The record is from Ensembl. Lineage: Eukaryota; Metazoa; Chordata; Actinopteri; Perciformes; Gasterosteidae.